UGCAAGUCGAACGAACCUUCGGGUUAGUGGCGGACGGGUGAGUAACGCGUGAGAAUCUGCCCUCAGGAGGGGGAUAACAGUUGGAAACGACUGCUAAUACCCCAUAUGCCGAGAGGUGAAACGAAUUUCGCCUGGGGAUGAGCUCGCGUCUGAUUAGCUUGUUGGUGGGGUAAUGGCCUACCAAGGCUUUGAUCAGUAGCUGGUCUGAGAGGACGAUCAGCCACACUGGGACUGAGACACGGCCCAGACUCCUACGGGAGGCAGCAGUGGGGAAUUUUCCGCAGUGGGCGAAAGCCUGACGGAGCAACGCCGCGUGAGGGAUGAAGGCCUUUGGGCUGUAAACCUCUUUUCUCAAGGAAGAAGAUCUGACGGUACUUGAGGAAUAAGCCACGGCUAAUUCCGUGCCAGCAGCCGCGGUAAUACGGGAGUGGCAAGCGUUAUCCGGAAUUAUUGGGCGUAAAGCGUCCGCAGGCGGCCGUUUAAGUCUGUUGUUAAAUUGUGGAGCUCAACUCCAUCACGGCAAUGGAAACUGUUCGGCUUGAGUAUGGUAGGGGCGGAGGGAAUUUCCGGUGUAGCGGUGAUAUGCGUAGAUAUCGGGAAGAACACCUGUGGCGAAAGCGCUCUGCUGGGCCAUUACUGACGCUCAUGGACGAAAGCCAGGGGGAGCGAAAUGGAUUAGAUACCCAUGUAGUCCUGGCCGUAAACGAUGAACACUAGAUGUUGGGGGAAUCGACCCCCUCAGUGUCGUAUCUAACGCGUUAAGUGUUCCGCCUGGGAGAGUACGCACGCAAGUGUGAAACUCAA
RNAcentral lists this ribosomal RNA (804 nucleotides) under uncultured bacterium. RNAcentral's name for it is "bacterial SSU rRNA". It matches the Rfam family "Bacterial small subunit ribosomal RNA", at positions 56 to 904 of the family's 1533-position model. The record is from RNAcentral.